UAAUGAUAUGAAAAUAUAUUUUUUUUUUAAAAAAAAAGAUCUAGCUUUAUAUGGGUUACUCUACAUGAUUUACUCUAAAAGAAAAUGAAAGAAAUAUAAAGUUUGGUAUGCAAAUUCAGGAAUCCAUUUAUGACCUUAAACAAGCUCCAAAAUAAUGAUAUAUAAAGGUUCUUAAUAUCAUUAUUUUUUAGAUUUAAGGUAAAUGCUAUUAAUUAGUAUUUAUAUCAAUGGGAGCAAGUUUAUUAUAUUGGUCUUAUAUAUGGAUAAUAUUUUGCCUUACCAAUAGUGAUCUUGAUUUAUUAUACUAAAUCAAGAAUUUAUCACUGAGAGUUUUAAUAUGGUUGAUAUGAAUGAGACAUCUUAUAUUAUUAACAUUGAGUAAUUCAAUGAUAGACCUUAAUGAUUAUGAAGAUUGUCUCAGAAAGGAUAUAUCAAUCGAGUCUUGAAAUGAUUUUAAUAUACAGCUUUGUUCAGUAAAUCAUAAAAGCAAAAUUUUAGUCAAUAGUAAAUGCUUGAAAAUGACUUGAAAAGAAUCAGAUAAUGAAGAUAUUCUUUGUAUAUGCGUAGUUGGAAGUCUAUGCUCAAACCUGUGUUAGAAAAGAUAUCAGUUUUUACAGUUAAAAUGUUGGGUAUAUAUUUGAGUUACCCAAAAGUAAAAGCAUUAAAGGACUACAGAGAAAGUAAUAAGAUAUCCGGAAGGGACAAAGGAUUAUAUGCUCACAUGUAUGAAAUUAUAUCGGCUUGAAAUAAUGGUAUUUUUUCAGAUGCUGAUUAUAUAAAUUGCCUCGAUAAUAGGAAGUCCACCUUACGGUUAAUAUCUAUGUAAUUAGAGAGGCAAUUUAUUAUUAUUAAUAAUAGAAGUUGAUUUUGUGGCAUGCUUUGAGGCCACUAAUCAAAUUUUUGACUGCAAAAUUUUUAUCUUAGGACUUGGUGUAGUCAGACUCAAUUACCAAGUCGUUGAAGAUAUUUUAUGACAUUGCAGUAGUUUUCUCCUCUAAGAAUGACAAGUACUAUUGCAUCUAUAUGCAUUAUGGUAUAAAGUACUUGAUCGUUAGAGAAGAUGAGUCCAGAAACAUCUAAUGUCAAUUAAUUACUUGAGUUCCACUGUAUUGAUUGCUGAUCCAUUCACUUAAGACUUACAGUCUAAAGUAUUUUGAAAGAACAUGUUCUUAUGAUUGGGUUUGUGAGCAACCCAUAAAGGAUAUGGUGAUGCAUGUUUGAGUGGACACUAUAAUUGACAUUCUUACUUACGUACUUAAAGUUAUUUGUUUCUGCUAUUCUGUUCACAAUUAUGUAUGUACAUAUUAUGGUUGAAUGUGAUGACAUGAUUGUUUUGACAAGACAAAUUAUAGGGGUCAUUUUGGACUGCAUUAGGAAAGGCUAACAGUAUUGUGGUACAUAGAAGGAAGUGUGACACUGAUGGCAUACAACCGCUAUGACUCAUAUUGUUAGUCAGACUUAAUGUAGUAUUAUUAUUAUUAUUGGACUUAUUGGCCUAUUUUCUAAAAUUCACGCGCGUGUAUAUAGUUUUUCAAAAAUUUCAGAAUCCAAUUGAGUCAAAUUGUUUUUAAAUAAAUUUUGUUUAUUUAUUUUUGAUUUUUAAGUCUUUUUAUAUCUUACCAAUUAUUGGGCCAAGUGGGAGAAUGUUAGAUUAUGUGGCCCUAUUUAAUUAGGUAAGAUAUAUUAUAGAUAUUAUUGGAUUCUGAUUAUGGUUAUUGGCCAAUAGAAAAGAAGUCCAUAUUAAAAUAGGAUUCUUUAGGAGAUAACUUUGAUGGAAGGAACUCUCCUAAUAACUUAUCCUAGACCCUCUGCUCUCGCCUAUAAAUAGACAGGACCUCUAGGGGCUAAAGAUAUAUCAUCAGAUAUCAUCUGUGCGCAUCUGAUAGAUAGGACCUCUAGGGGUCAAGUGCGCAUCUGAGUAGUAUCUGAGUCAAUUGAGAGAUUAAGGUUUUUCUCUCAAUUUGAGUCAAGUGAGAGAUUAAGUUUUUCUCUCAAUCUCCCUCUCCCUUAAUCCCCUAAUCCAUCAAUUUAGGUGGUCCUGUGAAAAGAUAGGAAGAGAGGAGAAGGAUCUAGUUCUUUUUGUAGAUCCUUGCAGAUUGAUAUUUCAGAUCCGACGAUGGAGCACUUGUAGAUCAGAUAAGGUUUAUUUCUUCUGAACAACAAGAAAGGUAUGCAUCGUAAUAUUGUAGAUCUAAUUUAUUUGAUUUCAAUCUUGGUAUAAAAGUUUUUCCGCAUUAUAGAUAGCAUGAUUACAGAUUUUAUGCUAACAAUUUGUAAUCAUUUUUACUAUAUCUGAUAGUUUGUUAAUGUCUAAGCACUAUCUUUCUUCUUGUUGAUAUUUGAUAUGGUCAUAUUCAAAAUAUCUAAGCCUUCCUUUUAGUGAAUUACAUUUUUUUGGUUUAAAAGUUAUUUGACUUAUUUAUGAUAAUUUGAAUCAUAUUUGAUAUUCUGUUGAUAUUUGAUAUAGUUUAACUAUGUUUUUUUUCUCUUGAUGCCUAAACAUGGUUUUUUUUCUCAUUUUUAAUAAUUUUAAUGUUUUGAAUAUGGAAGUUAUCAGUGUUAUAGUCUCUUUAUAUUCUCUCCUUCAAGCCCUCUUAGCGAAAUAUUUUUUUCUCAAUUCAAAACUUAUUUGACUUAUUUCUAAUCAUUUUGACUAUUUUUCAUAUUCUGUUAGUGUCUAAGCACUAUGUUUCUUCUUGUUGAUGUUUGAUUUGGUCAUUUUACCUAUUUGAUAUUUGAUAUGGUCAUAUUCAAAAAGUCUUCUUCUAGUGUUUUACUUUUUUCUGGUUUAAAAGUUACGUGACUUAUUUAUUUAUAUCUGUUGAUAUUUGAUGUAGUUUGACAAUGUUUUUAUACUCAUCAUGUCUAAACAUGGUGGUUUUUUCUCUCAUUUUAUUAAUUUUUAUGUUUUGAAUAGGGGAGUUAUCAUUGUUGUAGUUCUCUUAUAUGCUCCUUCAAGCCCUCUUAGCGAAAUAUCUUUCUCAAUUCGAAACUUGUUUGGCUUAUUUCUAAUAAUUUUGAGUUUUUUUUAUAUACUGUUAAUGUCCAAGCACUAUGUAUUUUCUUGUUGAUAUUUGAUUUGGUCAUUUUACUUAUUUCUAAUCAUUUUGACUUUUUGUUAUUCUAGUUGUGGCAUUUAUUUCUCUCAGCAUUCUGUUGCUAUAUGCUCCUGCAUUUAAAUAAAAAAGCUUAAGGUAAUUGUUAUCAAACAAGCACUGUUGCUUGGAACAUGUUCUUAGUUUUGUUGUCUUGUAUAUUCAUAUAUGUUUCGUGAUUCUUUUUUAGAUAUUUAUUGGUUGUCAGCCCACUUGGUUUUGUGAGAGGACUCUACAUAGAGGAUCCUUAAAUAUCACAUGAAUUCGACUCCAUAUGCCAAGGUUGAAACCUGAAGGAGAUUCCAUUUAGAACAAGUUUCGGGAGUUCAAUGUUGUGUAUCUUCUAGACUCGGUCACCUCACUUGCAGAUCAUUUGUCUUCCAAGAUAGAGCCAGCCAUGCUAUUUUGAUGGGCACAUACUGGGAAAGUUUGUUUGGAAUAGCUAACUUCCAAAGCAAUUUAUUGUUCUACAUUCCAAUCAAUACCAGUAAGCUGAAAUAGCUUAUCUGGUUAGAACAAUAUAAACUACAGAGAAUGAAUGCCAAAACCAGAACUGAUCAUGUAGAAUUUAGCAUGUCCAAAUACAAAAAGUUUUAUUUGGCAAGGAACACAUCUAGUGGAUAAGAACUGAUGAUGCAUGAAUCAAUAUUACCUCAAGGGGUAUUGGGUCCCCCAAUAAUGAGGAAAGAGAGCCUGUGAGCAAGAUUUGUCUGUAUUUUAUACCUUAAGGCUCAAUGCAAUUGAGGAAUGUCUAAUAAUUUUCUGCAAGUCUUUGUCUGAUGCAUGUAGCUAAUGUACAAAGAACUGACUUUUCUGCGCCCAUUUAGAAUGAGCUCUUAAACAUGACAAACAAGGUUUAUAAUGUAGUAGGCUCUGUUAUUAUCUGGUGCAGUUGAUAUGUAGGGAACUUUAACAUGACAAAACCCUAGAAGCCCUAGAAGAACCACAAAGAAAACAGAAAGAGUAAGUUAAAGAGUAACUAGACCUAAAUAUAUGAGGUAAAAGGGGUUGC
Molecule: long non-coding RNA, 4107 nt
Organism: Musa acuminata AAA Group (dessert banana)
Lineage: Eukaryota; Viridiplantae; Streptophyta; Magnoliopsida; Zingiberales; Musaceae
Exons: 3
Source: RefSeq, a predicted model, not a curated record